This 515-nucleotide unclassified non-coding RNA is filed under the name uncultured fungus. RNAcentral describes it as "partial contains ITS1, 5.8S rRNA and ITS2". The stretch from base 164 to 318 matches the Rfam family "5.8S ribosomal RNA". The record is from RNAcentral. Lineage: Eukaryota; Fungi.
GGGCAUGUGCACGCUCUGUUCACACAUCCACUCACACCUGUGCACCCUCCGUAGUUCUAUGGUCUGGGGGACACCCUGUCUUCCUCCUGUAGUUCUAUGUCUUUACAUGUACACCGUAGCAAAGUCUUAUGGAAUGUGCACCGCGUUUAACGCAAUACAAUACAACUUUCAGCAACGGAUCUCUUGGCUCUCGCAUCGAUGAAGAACGCAGCGAAAUGCGAUAAGUAAUGUGAAUUGCAGAAUUCAGUGAAUCAUCGAAUCUUUGAACGCACCUUGCGCCCCUUGGCUAUUCCGAGGGGCAUGCCUGUUUGAGUAUCAUGAACACCUCAACUCUCAUGGUUUGCCAUGAUGAGCUUGGAUUUUGGGGGUUUUGCUGGCCUGUGGUCAGCUCCUCUCAAACGGAUCAGCUUACCAGUGUUUGGUGGCGUCACAGGUGUGAUAACUAUCUACGCUUGUGUUUGUCUGCUGAGUAACCUUUGGUGACAGAGGUUUGCUGGAGCUUAUAAAUGUCUUUC